UUUCCGUAGGUGAACCUGCGGAAGGAUCAUUGUCGAGCCCCGCGAGAGCAGAACGACCCGCGAACCAGUAAAAAACCCACGUCGCGGGGGGCGUGCGGCCGCGGCCUCCUGCGACGAACAACAAACACCGGCGCAGGACGCGCCAAGGAAAACAAAACGAACGAGCGCGCCCCCGACCCAAACGAACGGGGCCCCGCCUCUUUCACUGACGCAAAAACGACUCUCGGCAACGGAUAUCUCGGCUCUCGCAUCGAUGAAGAACGCAGC
This 267-nucleotide unclassified non-coding RNA is filed under the name uncultured fungus. Its description in RNAcentral is "sequence contains ITS1, 5.8S rRNA gene". The stretch from base 219 to 267 matches the Rfam family "5.8S ribosomal RNA", at positions 1 to 49 of the family's 154-position model. Lineage: Eukaryota; Fungi. The record is from RNAcentral.